Molecule: transfer RNA, 73 nt
Filed under: Felis catus (domestic cat)
Lineage: Eukaryota; Metazoa; Chordata; Mammalia; Carnivora; Felidae
Rfam family: tRNA
About the family: Transfer RNA (tRNA) molecules are approximately 80 nucleotides in length. Their secondary structure includes four short double-helical elements and three loops (D, anti-codon, and T loops).
Source: Rfam by way of RNAcentral
GCCUGGCUGGCUCAGUCAGUGGAGCAUGUGACUCUUGAUCUCAGGAAUGUGGGCUCUAACCCCACAUUGGGCA